RNAcentral lists this ribosomal RNA (241 nucleotides) under uncultured bacterium. Its description in RNAcentral is "partial 16S ribosomal RNA". It matches the Rfam family "Bacterial small subunit ribosomal RNA", at positions 94 to 334 of the family's 1533-position model. The record is from RNAcentral.
AGCGGCGGACGGGGGAGUAACGCGUGGGUAACCGUGCCUCAUACAGGGGGAUAACAGUUGGAAACGGCUGCUAAUACCGCAUAAGCGCACAGUACCGCAUGGUACGGUGUGAAAAACUCCGGUGGUAUGAGAUGGACCCGCGUCUGAUUAGGUAGUUGGUGGGGUAACGGCCUACCAAGCCGACGAUCAGUAGCCGACCUGAGAGGGUGACCGGCCACAUUGGGACUGAGACACGGCCCAG